This 452-nucleotide ribosomal RNA is filed under the name uncultured bacterium. RNAcentral describes it as "bacterial SSU rRNA". It matches the Rfam family "Bacterial small subunit ribosomal RNA", at positions 29 to 526 of the family's 1533-position model. The record is from RNAcentral.
AACGAACGCUGGCGGCAGGCUUAACACAUGCAAGUCGAACGCAUCCUUCGGGGUGAGUGGCAGACGGGUGAGUAACACGUGGGAACGUACCUUUCAGUUUGGAAUAACCCAGGGAAACUUGGGCUAAUGCCGGAUACGCCCUUUUGGGGAAAGAUUUAUCGCUGAGAGAUCGGCCCGCGUCUGAUUAGCUAGUUGGUGAGGUAAAGGCUCACCAAGGCGACGAUCAGUAGCUGGUCUGAGAGGAUGAUCAGCCACAUUGGGACUGAGACACGGCCCAAACUCCUACGGGAGGCAGCAGUGGGGAAUAUUGGACAAUGGGCGCAAGCCUGAUCCAGCCAUGCCGCGUGAGUGAUGAAGGCCUUAGGGUUGUAAAGCUCUUUCGUCCGGGACGAUAAUGACGGUACCGGAAGAAGAAGCCCCGGCUAACUUCGUGCCAGCCGCCGCCGUAACAC